UGGCCUAUGGUGUAAUUGGCAACACUACUGAUUUUGGUUCAGUCAUUCAAGGUUCGAGUCCUUGUGGGACAACCA
RNAcentral lists this transfer RNA (75 nucleotides) under Flavobacteriales bacterium. Its description in RNAcentral is "tRNA-Gln". It matches the Rfam family "tRNA". Rfam says of the family: Transfer RNA (tRNA) molecules are approximately 80 nucleotides in length. Their secondary structure includes four short double-helical elements and three loops (D, anti-codon, and T loops). The record is from RNAcentral. Lineage: Bacteria; Pseudomonadati; Bacteroidota; Flavobacteriia; Flavobacteriales.